Molecule: long non-coding RNA, 1429 nt
Filed under: Pogona vitticeps (central bearded dragon)
Lineage: Eukaryota; Metazoa; Chordata; Lepidosauria; Squamata; Agamidae
Description: lncRNA (ENSPVIG00000005338.1)
Source: RNAcentral
GCCAAAACGAACCCAUCUCCUAAUGGGAAAAGAACAAAGUUUGGAGAAUCACUGUACCACCUCAUUGUUUGCUCAUGAGAAGGCAGGGAAAUAGGCAGAAAUACUAAGGAAGAUCCCAGACAGAAAUUUCCACAGGUUGGCAAACAGCUCCCAGCUGGAGAAAAGAGGGAGCCAGACUAGAAAUCAAGAGUUGUUGUUGUGUGCUGUCAAGUAAGAACCGGUUUAUAAGAAUGGACGUGAGCAGAUCAUGACCACCAACGUAUGGCUCAAUCAGGAUAUUAAUCUCUGUGUUGGGAAGCAAAGAACAAAACAUUUUCCUGGAUGUCUAACUCCUGAAAAGAAGGCUUCUCUUGAGAGCUCCCACGAAGCGCUUGGUUGAUUCAUUCCAUUCCAGCCAAUUUUUUUUUUCAAUCUAUACUUUGUGACAGAAAUUAAUUGUCUUAAAAUGUUCGAAAUGGCAAAAGCCCAGAAAAUGUUAGUCUAGCAGGUGUGUGUGUGUGUGUGUGUGUGUGUGUGUGUGUGUGUGUUUUAAACGCAGACUGUCAGGAGGCAGUUGAAUCACAGGCAGCUUUGCUUUUAAGGACAUGCCUCUGUUUAGACUGACAUUGGUUUAAUAAUCACAGCUCCAUUGCAGCAAUUAUCUCCACCCUAGCGUGGGAAGGUACAAGUGUUCUAGAGAGAGCAGUUGCCCUUGAGGAGGAGGAAUGAAGAGAAAAGGGUGAAAAUACCCUCCUGAACCAUCAUCAUAUGUUGCUGGCUUACAGGGGGGGCCCUUUCACUGCUCUCCUGAAGACGAACAACCAGCUGCAUCCACCUUUGGGACUUGGCAAGCACUUUGGUAGGUGAGGGCGAAUACAGACGCAGCCACCUCCCGAGAAAGUUUCCUGUAGCCAUUUGCUGCUUCAAAAUACUUCUCUGCACAGCGCUUCUCUUUCCUGUGCUAAAUAUGAACAUCUCCAAAACAUAUUGCAGAUUGCAUAUGUUUUAAUUUGCUGUAAAACUUUCGCCAAUUAAAUCUUUUACAAGCUCCACUUUGUUACCAAAAUAUUCUAAAAAAGGACAGGCUGCUUCCUGCAUAUGUUUCUGGGUUUUAUUUGUUUUUCGUUUGUUUGGAGGUCCCCCCACUUUAAAACGGUUUUGCUUAACUAGGACUUUGGAAUAGGUAAUAUUGUGAAAAGGGCAUCUCUCAGUAAGCCAGGUAGCCCAUAUAAUAAUACUUUAAAAAAAACCUGACAACAAUCAGUAUAUGUCUUUUCCUAGCACUAUAAUUAUCAUUUGUUUGUUACUUAAACACAGAGCGCCAAAUCUUUUAAACAAAUUAAUACUGUACUAUUGUCAAGUAGGAUAGAUGUUCAGCCUAUGCUUUCACCCUGGUAACUACAUAGAAUAUCCUUAAGUGGUUUAAAAUAAAAUAUUGAAUUUCUCUGAG